UUUUUCCUUUCUUUCCAAUCUGCUUCAGUCCAACUUCCGAGCCAUCGGCGGGAGAAGAAAAAAUAGAGGACAAUUCGGAGCCAAAUUCCCUGCUGAUGAACACUCCGGGGUUCGGGGCUGGAGACGACCCCCCUUCUAGAAGCGCACGCGGAGUAUUUCCUCUUUUUUCUCAAUGAACAAGAGGCCGAAGCGCCAACGGUUGGCACUUACGAUUGUGGAUUUAUAACACAGGAUAUUUUAAAUAAUACAAAUGAACAGCCAGAUGGAGAGGCACAUCAGACAAGGUCUGGAAGGAUUUCAAGCACAGGAGCUUCUGUCCCCGUGAAGUUGUGGUAAGUCAUCCUCCUCACAUGGGAAUGUGUUCAUCCAACUGGAAGCUCUUCAAAUCCCUUACUUUUGGAAUUUUUGUGGAGGCUUCAUCAUGUAGGCAUGACUAUUAACUACAUAUCUAGCCCUUUUCCCUUCUCCAGAGAAUAGAAGAUGGGGCUAAAAGUUGUAAGCUUUUAAUCAUAGUUUGGUCUUUCUGGUGAUCAGCCCCAUCCAGGAGAUGACCAAGAGAUGCCCCAGUAAAAUGAAAGACACUCCUAUGGCCUAGGAAAUUCCAAAGCGUUUAAGAGCUCUGUGUCAGAUACUCGGAUCACUAAGGAAAUU
This 651-nucleotide long non-coding RNA is filed under the name Callithrix jacchus (white-tufted-ear marmoset). RNAcentral's name for it is "lncRNA (ENSCJAG00000078806.1)". The record is from RNAcentral. Lineage: Eukaryota; Metazoa; Chordata; Mammalia; Primates; Cebidae.